Small nucleolar RNA from Ziziphus jujuba (common jujube), 78 nucleotides. RefSeq annotates it as small nucleolar RNA Z155. The transcript has a single exon. The record is from RefSeq and is a predicted model, not a curated record. NCBI's taxonomy places the organism in Eukaryota, Viridiplantae, Streptophyta, Magnoliopsida, Rosales, Rhamnaceae.
CAUUGAGGUGAUGAUAUCUUUUUCGGAAAUUUCCUUAUGUCGACUCGAAGAAAUCAGACUACAAUUAUCUGAUCAAUG